This 308-nucleotide long non-coding RNA is filed under the name Theobroma cacao (cacao). RNAcentral's name for it is "long non-coding RNA (TCAC_LNC004396)". The record is from RNAcentral. Lineage: Eukaryota; Viridiplantae; Streptophyta; Magnoliopsida; Malvales; Malvaceae.
AUAGCAGAUAUCGUCAAGGAUUAUAGUCGGCUUUACUACUCCAAAAACUGUAGGUUUACUACCUUUGUGCACUUUUGUUCCUUGUGGGCCCAUGAGUCAUUGUAAAGUAAAUUUCAUAUCACGGUUAUCUGUACUAUAGUACGUAUGAAUUUAUUUAGCUUUUACAUUACAAAAAUUAUUUACCGAUGACUCUAUAAAUAUUGUUUUACAAGAAAUUAGAAUAUUUUAUUGAAUAUUUUUAUUUUAUUUAAAUAGUUGCAAUAUCAUUUUUAAUAAAUGUUUUAGACACCUAAAUUUAUUUUAAAUCA